UAUUGGACAAUGGGCGAAAGCCUGAUCCAGCAAUGCCGCGUGAGUGAUGAAGGCCUUAGGGUUGUAAAGCUCUUUUACCCGGGAUGAUAAUGACAGUACCGGGAGAAUAAGCUCCGGCUAACUCCGUGCCAGCAGCCGCGGUAAUACGGAGGGAGCUAGCGUUGUUCGGAAUUACUGGGCGUAAAGCGCACGUAGGCGGCUUUGUAAGUUAGAGGUGAAAGCCUGGAGCUCAACUCCAGAAUUGCCUUUGAUACUGCAUCGCUUGAAUCCAGGAGAGGUGAGUGGAAUUCCGAGUGUAGAGGUGAAAUUCGUAGAUAUUCGGAAGAACACCAGUGGCGAAGGCGGCUCACUAGUGCUGGUAUUGACGCUGAGGUGCGAAA
This 380-nucleotide ribosomal RNA is filed under the name uncultured bacterium. RNAcentral describes it as "bacterial SSU rRNA". It matches the Rfam family "Bacterial small subunit ribosomal RNA", at positions 362 to 758 of the family's 1533-position model. The record is from RNAcentral.